UACAGAAGAUAGAAAACAAAAAUGAUAUCAAAAUUAUAACUGAACACUUUUUAGUGCAACUUACACAUGGUUUUCCCAGUAAGAAUAAAAAAAAAAAAGAGUGGCUGACAGUAGGGGAAUGGUGAAGGUAAAGUGAGUAUAUAUUAACCGCCAGAAGACAUGAAACAAAAAGCAUGGUCUCAAAAUUACAGCUGAACACUUAUCUCGCCCAAUUUAUACAUGGUUUCCCCAGUAACAAUAUAAAAUAAGUGCCCGAUGGAAAGAGAACGAUGAAGGAAAAGUGAGUAUUUAACCGUCAGAAUAAGAUAGAAACAGAAAAAACAGUAUCAAAAUGGAGAUCAAUCGGGUUCUAAUCAGUGUUUGCUUAGGUUCAUGGUACAGAAGGGUCAGACCACCACCAGGGCCACAAAACUACCCCUGGAAACGCCCAACAAUCUUAUAAAAGUCCUGUGAAAUAUGGAAGCUUGGGCGCCAAAAUGUCUAGGAAUACGCCCCGAAGGAAGAGAGCAUGAAACCAACAAAGACAGUGAUAAAUAACUUCCUAGACUGAUGAGAGCAAAUGAUAAGUUCCAUGGCUUCGGUUCGUGGUAAUGUCAGCGUAAGGAAUCAAGUAAGAAAAAUAUAUUGGCGUUUUUACAUCGGGAUAUUUCAAAACGGCGGAAAUUAAAAUCGGGUGUAAGGAAUCAGGUAAGAACUAUAUAUUGGCGUUUUUACAUCGGGAUAUUUCAAAACGGUGGAAAUUAAAAUCGGGUGUAAGGAAUCAGGUAAGAACUAUAUAUUGGCGUUUUUACAUCGGGAUAUUUCAAAACGGCGGAAAUUAAAAUCGGGUGUAAGGAAUCAGGUAAGAACUAUAUAUUGCCCUUUUUGUAUCGUGAUAUUUUAAAACCGCGGAAAUUAAAAUCGGGUGUAAGGAAUCAUGUAAGAACUAUAUAUUGGCCUUUUUGUAUCGUGAUAUUUCAAAACGGCGGAAAUUAAAAUCGGGUGUAAGGAAUCAUGUAAGAACUAUAUAUUGGCCUUUUUGUAUCGUGAUAUUUCAAAACCGCGGAAAUUAAAAUCGGGUGUAAGGAAUCAUGUAAGAACUAUAUAUUGGCCUUUUUGUAUCGUGAUAUUUCAAAACCGCGGAAAUUGAAACCGCGUCAGCCGAAUCAUCUGUCUUUGUUACGUAAGUGAAUUGAAACAAAGAAAAAAUGACACCAACGCAAUGACUCGACACUUCUCUAUUGUGUUCCGGUUCGGCGCCGUAACACUUGUAAUAGAAAAAAAAAAGAAA
Molecule: long non-coding RNA, 1270 nt
Organism: Eriocheir sinensis (Chinese mitten crab)
Lineage: Eukaryota; Metazoa; Arthropoda; Malacostraca; Decapoda; Varunidae
Exons: 2
Source: RefSeq, a predicted model, not a curated record